UCUCUUUAUUGGCCAAUCUAUCAAAAAUAGGAUUACAAUUUGUGGCCAUCGAUUGUUUUGAUCUUGUGGCCUAAGAUCAAUCUUCUUUCGUACUAUACUUUUUUUUCUGAACUCUCUCUUGCUAUACUAAAUCACAAAGUUUUUUCUUCUCCUUUGCUAGAGAGUCAAGUGACUCAAGUCUCCACUCUUGUCUUAUCCUCUGGUUCAUCCUCCUCGAGGCUUUGUCAUCCUCAACGGCGAGCAUACCAAGAGUCACAAAGAACCCUAGACCGCCACGCAAACAAACCUUUCCGCCGCAGAGAAAUAGAUCUCGUCUUUCCAGAUCCUUUAUAUUCAAGAGAUUCAGAGAUGGCGAGUGAUAAACAGAGAUGGCAUAGCAGCGUCAGUGGCAAGGUGGAAGACGGAACGCUAGUGGCAAGGUGGAGGACCGGAGGAGAUAGAGGAAAAGGGUGAUGGCGGUGGCCCGAGCUUCUCUCCGCUGAGAAAGAGAAGACAGGGGAAGAGGAAUCUGGUGGUCAGGGGAUUGCGGCGAAGAGGCGACAGAGAAUCUGGUGGUCAGGAGCAGAGUGGACGUCAUGGGGCUUGCGGUGAGGAUGCGACGGAGAAGCUGGUGGUCGUGAGAAGAGGUGGUGGUCAUGGGGCUUGCGGCGAGGAACGGAGAAGCUGGCGAGGAGAUUAGGUCUUGAUUAAGGGUUAAUUAAGAUGAGAUUUAGAUUAGAUUUAAGUUUUAAAAUAUCUGGUUAUUUUUAAAAUAUAUAUGGUGAACUGUGGAAUAUCUUUUAGGAUUAGUUAUAUAUAUAUAUAUAUAUUUAAUUUGAUUAAUUUUGUAUAACAAUUUUAAUUUGUAAACCAAAUUCAAGUAUUUGUAAAUCAAAAUUAAUUUAUUAUAUAUUUUAAUUUCA
This is a long non-coding RNA of Brassica napus (rape), 902 nucleotides long. RefSeq lists it as uncharacterized. The record is from RefSeq and is a predicted model, not a curated record. Lineage: Eukaryota; Viridiplantae; Streptophyta; Magnoliopsida; Brassicales; Brassicaceae. The transcript is spliced from 2 exons.